GAUGAACGCUGGCGGCGUGCCUAAUACAUGCAAGUCGAACGAAAUACCUUCGGGUAUUUAGUGGCGAACGGGUGAGUAAUACGUAGAUAACCUGCCUAUAGGACUGGGAUAACUAUUGGAAACGAUAGCUAAUACCGGAUAGGUAGAACGAGGGCAUCCUUGUUCUAUUAAAGUUGGGAAACAACACAUAUAGAUGGAUCUACGGCGCAUUAGUUAGUUGGUGGGGUAACGGCCUACCAAGACGAUGAUGCGUAGCCGACCUGAGAGGGUGAACGGCCACACUGGGACUGAGACACGGCCCAGACUCCUACGGGAGGCAGCAGUGAGGAAUAUUGGUCAAUGGACGCAAGUCUGAACCAGCCACGUCGCGUGAAGGAAGACGGCCCUACGGGUU
Molecule: ribosomal RNA, 394 nt
Filed under: uncultured bacterium
Lineage: Bacteria
Description: bacterial SSU rRNA
Rfam family: Bacterial small subunit ribosomal RNA
Source: RNAcentral